UACGUAGGGUGCGAGCGUUAAUCGGAAUUACUGGGCGUAAAGCGUGCGCAGGCGGUUUUGUAAGCCAGAUGUGAAAUCCCCGGGCUCAACCUGGGAAUGGCAUUUGGGACUGCAAGGCUUGAGUGCGGCAGAGGAGACUGGAAUUCCUGGUGUAGCAGUGAAAUGCGUAGAUAUCAGGAGGAAUACCGAUGGCGAAGGCAGGUCUCUGGGCUGACACUGACGCUCAUGCACGAAAGCGUGGGGAUCGAACAGG
Molecule: ribosomal RNA, 253 nt
Filed under: uncultured bacterium
Lineage: Bacteria
Description: partial 16S ribosomal RNA
Rfam family: Bacterial small subunit ribosomal RNA
Source: RNAcentral